CCUACGGGAGGCAGCAGUGAGGAAUAUUGGUCAAUGGGCGUAAGCCUGAACCAGCCAAGUCGCGUGAGGGAUGAAGGUUCUAUGGAUCGUAAACCUCUUUUAUAAGGGAAUAAAGUGUGGGACGUGUCCUGUUUUGUCUGUACCUUAUGAAUCAGGAUCGGCUAACUCCGUGCCAGCAGCCGCGGUAAUACGGAGGAUCCGCGCGUUAUCCGGCUUUAUUGGGUUUAAAGGGUGCGUAGUCGGGCUUUUAAGUCCGCGGUGAAAGUGUGUGGUUCAACCAUAGAAUUGCCGUUGAAACUGGGAGGGUUGAGAAUGUUUGAGGCAGGGGGAAUGCGUGGUGUAGCGGUGAAAUGCUUAGAGAUCACGCAGAACCCAGAUGGCGAAGGCAG
Molecule: ribosomal RNA, 389 nt
Filed under: uncultured bacterium
Lineage: Bacteria
Description: partial 16S ribosomal RNA
Rfam family: Bacterial small subunit ribosomal RNA
Source: RNAcentral